GGCCAUUGCACCUACUGUUGAUUUAGUAAGCAUUUAUGGGAUGCCUUACAAAUGCCAGGCACUUCCCUGUGACAGGAGGAUUAAGUUGAAGCCCAUUCUCGUUCUCUGGGAGCAUUCACAGUUCAAUGGAGGAAACAAAGAAUUGCCGUGCAACGGGAACAGCUGGAAAAACCUUUGAAGGAUAGAGGAAAAUUUUUCUUCACCAGCACUUUCGAUGAGCCCAGGAGACCUCACUGGCUAGGCAUGACUCAUUCUGAAGCUUUUGCAGUAGAAAGAUCCUGGGACUUCUCAUAGAGCUGUAAAAGGCCUAACAUUGGGAGCCCACUUGCAAGACUGCCUCCUGAAAUGAGAUAUAACUGCUUAACUCAAUUGAUCUAUUCUCAAGACUGAGGCUGGUUCAUUGAGGUACGUACUAGUCUAUCAGUUUAGCUUCUGGACUGUGAAAUUUCUUUAAGGUUUCAAAGGUGGGACUGAAGGGAUGUAGAACAAAUGUCCCCAAAAUGCACCAUUUUGGCAUGUGUGCUAUUUUGAGCUGAAGGCAACUGAGACGCUGCAGGCUCAAGAGAAACUGUUGUCUCUUCUAUAACUACCUAGA
Long non-coding RNA from Mustela lutreola (European mink), 595 nucleotides. RefSeq lists it as uncharacterized. Lineage: Eukaryota; Metazoa; Chordata; Mammalia; Carnivora; Mustelidae. The record is from RefSeq and is a predicted model, not a curated record. The transcript is spliced from 3 exons.